This 417-nucleotide ribosomal RNA is filed under the name uncultured Gammaproteobacteria bacterium. RNAcentral's name for it is "bacterial SSU rRNA". It matches the Rfam family "Bacterial small subunit ribosomal RNA", at positions 370 to 779 of the family's 1533-position model. The record is from RNAcentral. Lineage: Bacteria; Pseudomonadati; Pseudomonadota; Gammaproteobacteria.
AAUGGGGGCAACCCUGAUCCAGCAAUGCCGCGUGUGUGAAGAAGGCCUUCGGGUUGUAAAGCACUUUAGUUAGGGAAGAAAGGUUCUAGUUUAAGAGAUAAGAGCUGUGACGUUACCUAAAGAAUAAGCACCGGCUAACUCUGUGCCAGCAGCCGCGGUAAUACAGAGGGUGCAAGCGUUAAUCGGAGUUACUGGGCGUAAAGGGCGCGUAGGCGGUCGAAUAAGCAUUGUGUGAAAUCCCUGGGCUCAACCUAGGACGUGCAUAGUGAACUGUUAGGCUUGAGUAUAGUAGAGGGAAGUGGAAUUUCCGGUGUAGCGGUGAAAUGCGUAGAUAUCGGAAGGAACAUCGGUGGCGAAGGCGACUUUCUGGGAUAUAACUGACGCUGAGGCGCGAAAGCAUGGGUAGCGAACAGGAUU